CCUGGUGGCUCAGACGGUAAAGCAUCUGCCUACAGUGCAGGAGACCUGGGUUCGAUCCCUGGGUCAGGA
Molecule: transfer RNA, 69 nt
Filed under: Bos taurus (domestic cattle)
Lineage: Eukaryota; Metazoa; Chordata; Mammalia; Artiodactyla; Bovidae
Also listed under: 5 other names
Rfam family: tRNA
About the family: Transfer RNA (tRNA) molecules are approximately 80 nucleotides in length. Their secondary structure includes four short double-helical elements and three loops (D, anti-codon, and T loops). Further hydrogen bonds mediate the characteristic L-shaped molecular structure. tRNAs have two regions of fundamental functional importance: the anti-codon, which is responsible for specific mRNA codon recognition, and the 3' end, to which the tRNAs corresponding amino acid is attached (by aminoacyl-tRNA synthetases). tRNAs cope with the degeneracy of the genetic code in two manners: having more than one tRNA (with a specific anti-codon) for a particular amino acid; and 'wobble' base-pairing, i.e. permitting non-standard base-pairing at the 3rd anti-codon position.
Source: Rfam by way of RNAcentral